Molecule: ribosomal RNA, 158 nt
Filed under: Rhizophagus intraradices
Lineage: Eukaryota; Fungi; Glomeromycota; Glomeromycetes; Glomerales; Glomeraceae
Description: 5.8S ribosomal RNA
Rfam family: 5.8S ribosomal RNA
About the family: 5.8S ribosomal RNA (5.8S rRNA) is a component of the large subunit of the eukaryotic ribosome. It is transcribed by RNA polymerase I as part of the 45S precursor that also contains 18S and 28S rRNA.
Source: RNAcentral
UCACUUUCAACAACGGAUCUCUUGGCUCUCGCAUCGAUGAAGAACGUAGCGAAGUGCGAUAAGUAGUGUGAAUUGCAGAAUUCCGUGAAUCAUCGAAUCUUUGAACGCAAAUUGCACUCCCUGGCAUCCCGGGGAGUAUGCCUGUUUGAGGGUAAGUA